AACCAUAGAAACCUGCGGAGUACCUGCGGAAGGAUCAUUAAAGAUUGACCGAAAGGUCUUAUCUCUAUAUCCCUCACCUCUGUGAACUGUGGACCUCCGGGUCUAUUUAACAAACAUCAGUGUAAUGAACGUAUAUAUCAUUAAACAAAACAAAACUUUCAGCAAUGGAUCU
Molecule: unclassified non-coding RNA, 172 nt
Filed under: soil metagenome
Description: partial contains 5.8S ribosomal RNA, internal transcribed spacer 2, and large subunit ribosomal RNA
Source: RNAcentral